RNAcentral lists this ribosomal RNA (243 nucleotides) under uncultured bacterium. RNAcentral describes it as "partial 16S ribosomal RNA". It matches the Rfam family "Bacterial small subunit ribosomal RNA", at positions 534 to 776 of the family's 1533-position model. The record is from RNAcentral.
GCUAGCGUUGUUCGGAAUUACUGGGCGUAAAGCGCGCGUAGGCGGCUUUGUAAGUUAGAGGUGAAAGCCCGGAGCUCAACUCCGGAAUUGCCUUUAAGACUGCAUCGCUAGAAUCAUGGAGAGGUGAGUGGAAUUCCGAGUGUAGAGGUGAAAUUCGUAGAUAUUCGGAAGAACACCAGUGGCGAAGGCGACUCACUGGCUCGUAUCUGACGCUCAGGCGCGACAGCGUGGGGAUCAAACAGG